Molecule: ribosomal RNA, 617 nt
Filed under: uncultured bacterium
Lineage: Bacteria
Description: bacterial SSU rRNA
Rfam family: Bacterial small subunit ribosomal RNA
Source: RNAcentral
CCUACGGGAGGCAGCAGUGGGGAAUUUUGGACAAUGGGCGCAAGCCUGAUCCAGCAAUGCCGCGUGAGUGAAGAAGGCCUUCGGGUUGUAAAGCUCUUUUGUCAGGGAAGAAACGGUGGGAGCUAAUAUCUCCCGCUAAUGACGGUACCUGAAGAAUAAGCACCGGCUAACUACGUGCCAGCAGCCGCGGUAAUACGUGGGGUGCAAGCGUUAAUCGGAAUUACUGGGCGUAAAGCGUGCGCAGGCGGUUUUGUAAGUCUGUCGUGAAAGCCCCGGGCUCAACCUGGGAAUUGCGAUGGAGACUGCAAGGCUUGAAUCUGGCAGAGGGGGGUAGAAUUCCACGUGUAGCAGUGAAAUGCGUAGAGAUGUGGAGGAACACCGAUGGCGAAGGCAGCCCCCUGGGUCAAGAUUGACGCUCAUGCACGAAAGCGUGGGGAGCAAACAGGAUUAGAUACCCUGGUAGUCCACGCCCUAAACGAUGUCUACUAGUUGUCGGGCUUUAAUUAACUUGGUAACGCAGCUAACGCGUGAAGUAGACCGCCUGGGGAGUACGGUCGCAAGAUUAAAACUCAAAGGAAUUGACGGCNGAGAGAGCGAGACGACGACGAGGGAGGAGG